ACAUCCAGUUUAGUGCCGCUGCCGAAAGUCCACCACAGAGACACAAACUAAUAGAGCAGCUGAACAAAAACCUCCUGAACGCUUCACUAACUGCACAAACACACAUCAACUGAGUCUCCAACAAACACAUCCACUCACAGCACAAACUACUCUCAUUUAUUUCUUCUGCUUUAUGCAGUCUGUGUUAUUACUAAAGCAUGAACCUGAAUUUGUGGCAAAAAUGAACAUUUUGUAUCAUUUGACGUGACUCACAAUCAAACUCAGUUGAUUCAGUGAUUGACAGAGACACGUGUGAUGAUCCUCAUGUCUGUUAAAACAGGAGCAUCCAUGGAUUUGCUGUUAAAUUUAGGAAUUAACAGUCAUGUUUCUAUCCAACUACAGUCAAAAAUAUUCUCAGUCUCACAGGAGCGAGUCAGAAUAAUUUACUAAAGUAGGUCUUGUAGAUGAAUUCACAAUCAAAUUAAUGUGUGAUUUUAACAGUUUUGCUAUUAAAUGAUUGCACGUUAUGAAAAAGACUUCAUUUUACUAGAUUUUUAAAAUAAUUCUUUAUUAACUAAGACUGAACGACUGUCUUCAGGUAAAUGAUCUGGAGUGUGUUUGCAUAUUGAUCAGAUGCUUCAGUGCUCUGAGAGUGUUUAUAGUGCUGUGAGUUUAACACUUCGUCACUGACACACACAACAAUCUUCAUCAACAUGACCUUCAUCAUCAUCUUCAUCUGGACUCUCACAGCGUUUGCUCAAGAGUGUAGAGGACAGAUCACCGUCACUCAGAGUCCCUCAACGACAGCAGCUCGACCAGAAGAAACAGUCAAAAUCAACUGUAAAACCAGCACAGAUGUGUUCAGAUGGAGUGAUGGGGAUGAAGAGCUAGCCUGGUACUUACAGAAAUUUGGUGAAGCUCCGAAACUCCUGAUUUAUUAUGCAAAAAAACUCUACACUUUCACUCCAUCUAGAUUCAGUGGCAGUGGAUCUAACAGUGAUUUUACUCUGACCAUCAGUAGAGUCCAGACUGAAGAUGCUGGACAUUAUUACUGUCAAAGAGUCGUACAAAAACCUCCGUCAGUCAGAGUCACAGAGACUGAACUGAUCCUGCAGCUGCUCAAACACUAUCACUCACUCAGUGUAGAAACACAAAUAUGAUCCUAAUAUCAAUUUAGUUGUAUUUCAUUAGUAUUUUUAAAAUAGAAAUAAUUUUUAACAAUCAGAUUUUUUUCUUUCUUAUAAUACAGUCAUACUGUAAAGUGCAUAACCAGCAUAUUAACGCAGUCGCUGCUUGAAUUGUUUAUUCAUCAUCUUCCACAUAAACCAGAGUAACAAAUUAACCAGAAUUCAGUGCCAACACCUAUAAAACCAUGAUCAAAUGCUCCACCAUCCCAAAAUCAGUCUGGUCUAGUGGAUUCACUUGUUUCCUCAAGGUAUGGAUUACAAAUCCUGCCAAAUGGGCAGAUGAUGUUCUCUCACAAUAACACUAUAAUUAUAGUCAAACGAAAGUACAACAUUAAUAUCAAGUCAGUGUGCGGCCGCUAGUACUGAAGUAAAGCACUUUAAGAAACUUUACUGUUAUUUUUAUGAUAUAAAAUACUAGCCUUGUUUAUUUUGGUGAGCAGAAGACAUUUAAGGGGUCUUAUGUUAUAGCUGAAUUUUUUUUUCUUCAUUUGCAUAUGAGACUUUGAGGAAACUGAAUGAGUCAGAUAAUAUUGUUGUAUUUAAUUAGUUCACUGAGUUAUCACGGUCAUUGAAACCUGAAAAAUAAGAGUGAAUUGCACAUUUGUUAUAUUUGCACUCUUUGUUAUAUUUCAAGCAGCCUGUAUGUACAUAUACAUGUGUUUGCUUUUAAGUUAUUUGGUAAAAUAAUCAGAAUCAGAAUCAGCUUUAUUCGCUAAGUGUGCGCAAACACACAAGGAAUUUGUUGUGGUUUUUAAGAAGCUCUUGGUACAUACAUGCAUACCAACCUGG
Molecule: non-coding RNA, 1955 nt
Organism: Onychostoma macrolepis
Lineage: Eukaryota; Metazoa; Chordata; Actinopteri; Cypriniformes; Cyprinidae
Source: the annotation of a RefSeq genome assembly